CAUUAUUCAGUGAAAGUCAUUUUUAAGCCAUUAAUUAAUCAAUAAUCUCAUAAAGUAAGUCUAAAUGAACAGUGACGAAUAAAAACACAAGCCCAACAUCGGGGUGUCACAAGUUAAGAGCAUCUGCUAAGGCUUGAAUACAACGAAGAGUCUGAAAAUAUACUAAAAACAGUCUAAGGAAGACAAGAGGGAGAAGAGCAGGGCUGUGAACAUCGGACAUCUACCUUGCUAACUCCAAUGACUCUGCCACUGAGCAAUCAACAUCGCUAUCGGGUUCAGAAAUACUUGAAUCUGCACACAGGGUGUACGGAGUAAUGUGAAUACGCCAACUUAAUAAGUAAUAAAAGUAAAUGAAAGCUGAGCAGUAAGAAAACACGUAUGCCACGACAUAACGCUACAACAAAUGCAGUACAUUUCCAAAAUAGUACAAAAAUCAUUUACUUAAUAAAUCAAGCUUAGUUUUCGUAAAACCAUUUAAAACAACUUUCAACAGUUUCAAACGAGUGAUAAAAUAGUGAGUAAAAUUGAUAAAAACGUGAACAGUCCCUCGGGCAAAAUAUGUAUCAUAAACCACCCCUCGGGCAUAAUAUCAAAAGAACCAGCCCCUCAGGCUACCUCACAAUCACUCAUAAUCAGUACUUAGGGCAUAACAUGAAUCAAAAACCGCUCCUCGGGCCAAACAUGGAUCAAGAACAGCCCCUCGGGCAACAAUAUGAAACAACAAUAGCCCCUCGGGCUACAUCAUAUCACUCACACUGAGUACCCGCGCUCAUUGGGGGUGUACAAACUCCGGGAGGUCUCUUUAUAGCCCAAGCGCAAUAACAAGCCAUCUCGUGGAAUAAUUAAAUAGGCAUUCGGCCUCAUAACAACAAGCCACCUCGUGGCAUAAAUCAAUCAGGCCCUCGGCCUCACAAUAUCAUGAAUCAAUAACAACCUGUUGUAGCGUGCAACCCGGUCCCAUAAUAUCCUCACAACACCGGCCCUCAGCCUCGCUCAAUUAGAAACAUCACAAGACACUCGGACAACAGUAAACACAUGAUGCUCAGCCCCAAAAUAUCAUUUAAAAUAUAAAAACGAGUAAAUAUGGCUGAGUUAUGAAAAUAGUACAAUAUAGCAUGACUGAGUACAAAUAUAAAGUAAAAAUAGUGAGGAAUAAUAGUAAAAAUCCCCUAAGGGUCCAAAACAGUUGGCACGAAGCCCAAAUAUGGCAUUCAGCCAAAAAUAUGGUAAUAAUUUCCAAAACACAAUGAUAUCAAAUAGGUUGCAAUCAAAUACGCGACUUAACAGUCAUACGGGACGGACUAAGUCACAAUCCCCAAUGGUGCACGACCCCACGCUCGUCAUCUAGCGUGUGCAUCACCUCAAAGUAGCACAAUGAUGUGAAAUCCGGGGUUUCAUACUCUCAAGACAACAUUUAUAAUCAUUACUUACCUCAAACUGAUCCAAACUCUAGCCCGCGAUACCUUUGCCUCUUGAAUCGGGUUCCAAAUGCUCCAUAUCUAACUAAAAUGAAUAUAUUAUCAUCAACAUACACUAUAGGAACAAAGCCCAAGCAAAAAUUAUCAAAUUAUAUAAAAUAUUCUGAAAUUAGCCAAACCUGAUCCCCGGGCCCACGUCUCGGAAUCCGAUAAAAAAUAAAAAAUCCGACAACCCAUUCAACCACGAGUCCAACCAUAACAAAAAUACUAAAUUCUGAUAACAAUUCGGCCUCCAAAUCUUCAAAUCUUAUUUUCAAAUCUCUAGGUCCAAAUCCCAAUUUAAACCUCAAAAACAUGUAAUCUAGUCGGAUUAUUCGAUGAUAAUUCAAUAUUAUAGAGUAGAAAUGAUCACAAGUGACUUACCUCAAGAUUUCCCAUGAUUUCUCGCUCAAAAAUCGCCCCAAGCUGCGUUUUUUUCGUCCAAAAAUGUGGGAAUGAGCUAAAAAAACAAGACAUCUCAAUAAAACACGAUUCUAGUUGCUAAAAACCCCAUUCCAUCACUAAAAAGUGCCAAAUCUGGUCGCUAAAGUUGCACACCAGAUCCUGCUGCACCAGCAAUAUUUAUUUUCACUAAAAAGGCUCUAACUACACCAUACGAACUCGAAAUUCGAUGAUUCUUGUUACUAUGAUUUACAAAUAAUAGUACAAACAUAGCCCUUCAAUCGAAACUCAAUUCAGAGCUCAUUUGCACAGUGCGAUACCCAUUUUGCUCGAUAAACAAUUAACUUAUGUUUCGCAUCAAAAACCCAAUCGUGACUUGAUGAAAUUAGACCAAACUUUCCAAAUCACUCCGAUAAUUCAUUAUCAAAAUUUCGGAAGUCCCGAAAUCAAACUUCGAUCUCUAGAACUAAAAACAGACCUUUGGAUCAUUACAUGAUUAUGCCCAAAACGACAAAAAUCUUCCAAAAACUCUUCCAAAACUUAUCUGAGCCUCAUGGGACCCGACCAAAUAUGCCAACACACCCCAUAACAUCAUUCAAACUUGUUUCAACCUUCAUAACACUCAAAACAAUAUCAAAAUAUCGAAUCACUCUCGGAUUCAAGCCAAGAAUUCCAAAACAUCUGAAUUCCGAAUUAGAUCAAAAGGUCUAUCAAACCUCGUCCGAAUGACCUGAAAAUAUGCAUACACGUCACAAAUGGCACAAUGGACCUACUUCAAUUUCUGGAAUUCCAUUCCGACCCUGAUAUCAAAAUUUCCACUACUGACCGGAAAACGGCAAAUUUCCAAUUUCGUCAAUUCGAACCUAAAUCUAUCACAGACCUCCAAAAUACAUUCCGGACGCCCUCCCAAGUCCAAAAUCACCUAACGGAGCUAACCAAAUCAUAGAAAUCCAAAUCUGAGAUCGAAUACUAAAAAUUCAAAACUUGGUCAAACCUUUCAAAUUUAAAGCUUCAAGCUGAGAAUGGUUCUUCCAAAUCUAUUUUGAUUGUCCUGAAAACCAAAACCGACGAUUUACAUAGAUCAUAAUACAUCAUACGUGGCUAGUCAUGCCCGAGAACUGGCAAGUGAAGUGCAAAUGCUCAAAAUGACUAGUCGAAUCGUUACAUAAAGGAAUCUAUAAUUUUCCACCUACGCAAGAACAAAGCUAGUAAAUUAAAUCCUAUUCUCGCCAGCUUGUAUUGAAAAGCUAAUUACAAGAAAAAGGACAACCUAAUUUGGCUAAGUUAUGCUAAAAUAGUCAACAAUUCAUUAUGGUCUAAAUUCAAACUCAAGAUAACAAUGGUAGCAAUUUUAUCUAUAACAGAGUUUUCUAUCAAACACAACAACCAAACCAUCAUUUAGCAUGCUCUAAACAGUUUUCUAUCAAGAAAUAGAAAAGGUUUUGCUGCUAACCUUGUAAGAAACAUACUGGCAGCAAAUUAUAAUCUUAAAAUAAAUAAACCAACGAAUACAAAGGACCUUUGAUGGAACGUAUUGUCCAUAUAUGAUUUAUCAGUUCAUUUAUUACGAUCUACCAAAUAAUAGAUGUAAAAAUCAUUUUAGAGCAGCAUUAGCCAGUUAAUUAGCUUUUUCUUCAAGUUUUAUACACUUUGUAUGCAUAUGCAUCAUACAUACACAUCACACAAUAGAGAACACAUCAGUACAUAGCACCAAUAUUUAACCUUAAUAUAGAAAUAGAUGAAAAUUGACCUCAAAUAUUUCCUCUACGAGUCCAUAAGACAAAUAUGGCAACGGUUUGAGCUUUAAGGGAUUAAUGGAGGAUUUUGGAGUGUUCCUCGGCAAAAAUGGCAACGGUUUGAGCUGCGGUUUUCACGUUGUUUAGAGAUGGUUUUACAGCUUUCUCGAGGCUGUGUUGUUGCAUUUUUUAGCUAGAAAUUCUAGCUAGUUUUUGGUGAUAUUUGGGCGAUUUGAAGGAAGGUUUAGAGGUGGUUCCGGAAAUAGCUGAUCGUGGUUGUUUGGGCUGCUUCUCAGUUGGGAUUUUUUGUGCUUUUUUUGGGGUAGUUAGGAUGGCAGCUCAUAGAAGAUGAUGGGCGUGGCUGAAGUUUUUAGAAUGGAGUCCGUGAGAGCUGCUGGUUCUCUUUUUAGUUGAAGAAAGGUAGAAACAGCUGUACAUGGGGGGGUUCU
Molecule: long non-coding RNA, 4044 nt
Filed under: Nicotiana tabacum (common tobacco)
Lineage: Eukaryota; Viridiplantae; Streptophyta; Magnoliopsida; Solanales; Solanaceae
Description: long non-coding RNA (NTAB_LNC010860)
Source: RNAcentral